Molecule: RNA transcript, 6947 nt
Organism: Triticum aestivum (bread wheat)
Lineage: Eukaryota; Viridiplantae; Streptophyta; Magnoliopsida; Poales; Poaceae
Gene name: nuclear pore complex protein NUP214-like
Exons: 27
Source: RefSeq, a predicted model, not a curated record
ACCACCACAUUCGCCGCCGGGAACCCUCCGCUCCCCGCCGUCCCCGUCCCUCUGCUGACUGCUCAGCUUACAAACCACGCUAACCUCUUCCUAAAUCUUCGGGUAACUCCAAAUUUCGAAAGCCCCCGUCGCUGCUGCCUCGCCGCGGCGCAAAAUCAACCGCCCCCCCUCCCAACUUCCUCCCCAGAACCCUAGCCCCCGGCCGCCACCGCCGGCCAUGGCGGCGCCUCGGGAGCUGGACCUCUCCGACGAGGUCGAGGGCGAGAUGGACGGCACCACCGACUUCGUCUUCCGCCUCGUCGGCGACCCCAUCCCCGUCCUACCCCCCGCCUCCGCCCCGCUCCCCCUCUUCGACCUCCAGUCCCCUCCCGCGCGCCCGCUCGCCGUCUCCGACCGCCACGCCGCGGUCUUCCUCGCUCACCCCAACGGGUUUAUCGCCGCGAGGACGAAGGCGUUGAUCGAGGCCAGCAAGGAGGCCAGGGAGAAGGGCAAGGCGAGCACCCGCUGCGCGCAGGACUGCUGCGUCACCGACGUGCCCCUCCCCGGCGUCACUCUCCUAGCGCUCUCCCGCGAUCAGUCCGUGCUAGCUGCCUGCACGGGCACUGAGAUCCAGUUAUUCUCGGCUACUUCCUUGCUCACCGAUAAGGAUAUCAAGCCGUCAUCAUCAUGUAGCAUGGGACGAUCUGGCACUGUCAAAGAUUUCAAAUGGCUAGAUAAUGCCUAUAUUAUACUCUCGAAUGGUGGAUUGCUAUCUCAUGGGAGUUUGGGGCAAGGCCUGAAGGAUAUAAUGGAAAAUGUUGAUGCUGUUGACUGUUCCAAGGACGGGAACCAUAUUGCUGUGGCAAGAAAGAAUUCACUCAGGAUAUUAUCACCAGAUUUGAAGGAAACAUGUUGCAUGGCCCUCUUGUUUCAGUUGUGGCCUGAUAGUGAUUCAGAGGGCACUGACAUCAAAGUGGAUUCCAUCGGGUGGGUUCGCGAUGAUAGCAUUGUUGUCGGUUGUGUUCGAUUGAAUGAAGAAAGCAAUGAAGAGGGUUAUCUGGUCCAAGUUAUAAGAAGUGGAGGAGAUACAUUUUUUGAGAGCUCAAGCAAGCCAGUUGUUUUUAGCUAUGAUGUUUUCGGAGGUAUCAUGGAUGAUAUUUUACCAUCUGGAGUUGGACCAAAUCUGCUAUUGGGCUAUCUGCAUCGCUGGGAUCUCCUGGUUGUUACAAAUAAAAAGAGCACCGAUGACCACAUUUCUCUUUUGAAAUGGCCGUCGAGAACUGAUGAGGAAAGAACUGUGGUAUACCUCGAAAUGGUGGAGGAUAAAUAUAGUCCUAGGAUUGAUCUGCAAGAAAAUGGUGAUGACAAUGUUAUAUUGGGGUUUGGUGUGGAGAAUGUUUCGUUAUUUCAGAAGAUCACAGUACUGGUUGGACCUGAACAGAAGGAGGUUGCCCCUCAACAUCUUCUACUUUAUUUGACUAGUGAAGGGAAACUAAUUAUUUACUAUCUUGCCAGGAUUUCUGACCCGUCCGAUUUACCUCAAACAAGUCUGUCUACCAUUGAGGAUAGUAAUGUGAAUAAACAAAUUUCUCCUGCAACUGCGUCUAAUAAGGAUCUGACUCCAAGUGUUACAAGCUCAAUGGCCAAGAGUCUGCUCGCAGGACCUGGGGCAUCUAGCGCACCAGCAGAGAAAGAUCAGCAUGGAUCAGGAGAUGCAAAGAGCAGUUUCCCAAUUUCAAAUAGCAAGGACAUAGCUGCUGGCAGUUCAUUGCUUAUCUCUUCUGAUAAGAAGCCAUUGGAUACCAAGCAAGUGAACACGGCUUCCCCAUUUGCACCUCCUUCUAGCUCAGCACCAACAGGCAACAUGAAACCUGGAAUGCCGUUCAGCUUUUCAACAGGUAAUAAUGUUGGUCUAAAUUCAACAGGAAGCAAGGGAUCUAGUGAACCAGUAUCUUCAUGGCAACCGAACACCAGCGGCAGUUUUGUAAGCAGCCAACUUGGUAAAGGUGGCUUCGAUUCAGCCAAACCACUGGGAGCAUUUGGGGGGUCUCAGAACGCUACAAAAAGUGGUGGUAGCCUUAGUUUUAAAUCAUCAGUGUUCAGCUCAGAUGGAUCUGUUCCAGUUAAGACUGCAGAAAGGGAUGGGGCUAGUAGUUUCGGAAGCUACCCAGCGCAAACCAGCUACACUACUGAGAGGAAAGUUCUUGGUUCCUCAGCUGGCUUAAGUUCUGUGCCAUCAUUGUCGAUUUCUCCAAAUAAACCAGUUGGAGCUUCAUCUGCUGGGUUUGGGGCAGGAAAUCUUGAAGUACCUCCUGUCUCCCGUGGAUCACCUCUGCCACAACAAACCAUUGGCAAAUCACCCAACAACAGGAACCAUACGUCAGCGGAUUCAAAAAAUUUCAAGUUGGGCACAAUGUUUGAUACCCAACAAGAUCUAUCUAAGAAGAUUUACAGUAUAAAUGAUAUGACCGAGGAGUUAGAUACCCUCCUGUCAUACAUAGAAAAAGAUGGUGGUUUCAGAGAUGCUUGCAUGACCUUGCAGCAGCGUCCUCUUUCAGUUCUUGAGGGUGAUCUGCAAAACCUCUUGGAACUAUUGCAGGUCUUCAAGAACAAAGUAGAGGAACAAUGUUCAAAAGCUGAAGAUCUUCGAAAUAAGAUGUUCCAAGUUUCUGCUAGGCAAGCUUAUAUGAAGGGAAUUCUCACUCAGUCUUCAGAUACUCAGUACUGGGAUAUAUGGAACCGCCAGAAUUUGAGUCCAGAAUUUGAGGCAAAGAGGCAAAAUAUUCUCAAAGCUAAUCAGGAUUUGACAAAUCAGCUGGUAGAGCUGGAGAGGCACUUCAAUAAUCUGGAGAUGAACAAAUUUGGUGAAACUGGAAGAGUUGCUUCAAGUCGUAGAGCUGUUUAUUCCAACAAGUCACGGUCUAGUCAGACACAGUUAUCCAGCGUGUACAAUGCACUGAAUUCGCAAUUAGCAGCAGCAGAGCAACUAUCUGAAUGCCUUUCAAAGCAGAUAUCUGCACUAAAUAUAAGUUCUCCUUCUAAGAAGCGAGGGGCAGUGACCAAAGAGUUGUUUGAAUCAAUUGGUCUAGCCCAUACGGCAGAUGCAGCCAAAUUUUCAGGCGGUACCCCUUCCAAGUUAAUUCAAAGGUUUCCAUCCACGAAAGAGCACACAAAGGGCAUGCUGGGACCUUCCAAGAGUGCUGAACCUGAGACUGCACGAAGGAGGAGAGAGUCACUGGAUAGGAGUUUGGCUAGUUUGGAGCCUCAGAAAACUACUGUAAAGAGAAUAGCGCAGCAACAACGCCUCAAGAUUAGCAGUGAUCUCCCAUUCAGGUCAAACAAGAAAAUGUUUGAUUCUCAAAUGGCAGCUAUCUCCCAGGAAACUUUUGGUGGUAGCCCCAGUUCAUCAAUAGUCGAAUCAUAUACUAGCAGGGUUCGUUCUCCAAUUGAAGUGCUGGAUGAGAAAACAAAACCGUCAGGACCCCAGGGCAACUCUUUGUUCAAAUGGGUAAAGGAACCAGCUGGGUCAUCUCAGGGUUCAGAGCAAAAGCAUCUUGACUUAUCAGGGCGAAUGAGAAGUGCUGAUCAGUCUUCAAAGUUGACACCAUCUUCACCGGCAUCAUUCAGUUACACACAGAAGGAUGCAAGGGAUAGGACCAGCACACCUAAUGUUGCAUCUUUAGGCACAAUGCAUACCGUGCCUAAGUCAAAUACUCUGACCUUCAAAACCAAUAUAGCUCCUAAAACUAACACCAAUACACGGCCAGAUAUGUCACCUUCAGUGUCGAGCCCGAUGCCUGUCAAAACUUUGUCUGGGGAUUCUGGAGCUGGAUUUACCUUGACUACAAAGAACAGAUAUGGUGACCAGGACGUACCAUCUUUUGGAAGCAUGAAAGGGUUUGGCAUUUCUCCACAGAAUACAGGUGUUAAUAAACCAUCUUUGUCUUCUGAACCUUCUAAGCCUGUUGUGUUGCAUGGGAAGACUUUCCAAGUUAGUGGAGUCAGUGAUACUAUGCAGAACUCAGCCAAAGCUUCACCCCAGGUGGCAUUUUCACCAACAUCACAGUCAUCUUCAUUUCCUAUAAUGUCAGGUGCUUCCUCUUCAGCUGCAUCGCUCUUAUCAACCAUGCAAGCAUCAGCUGCAAAGACUUCUGAUGUUUCAUCUCCAACGGUUUCUUCCACACUCCCACCACAGGAGUCAGCACCAAAAACUCACCCAACAGUACCUGAGGGUACCGUGUCUUGUUCCCUGCCAUCUAUACCAACACCUGUUAAGGAGUCAUUACCUGGCUUGAAUAAAAAUGCAUCUACUAAACCUGAAGUGGUGGCACCAGAGGUAACUGGAACCACAGUCUCUGUAAGUGCUACUUUAACAGGCGUACCUACAAGUGAAAGCAAAACUGCAUUGCUUCCGGUGACCAAUAGCAGCUUACCUUCUAAUCCUCCAUCCAUUCCUGUGCCUAAAGUUGUGCCAGGGGCAACAGAAUCUGCUGUUGUCACUUCCACAAGAAAAGAUGGAGGACCAAGCAAUCUCUCAUCAGAUGAAGAUGAAAUGGAUGAGGAGCGUCCUUCUGCAAGUGCAGAUCUAAACUUGGGAGCCCUUAGUGGGUUUGGUCUUGGGUCCGCACCUUCUUCAAGUCCUAAAAAAUCCAAUCCUUUUGGGAGCGCAUUUGGUACGUCUGAGAGUAAAAGUUCAAGCUCACCGUUUACUUUGACCACCAGCCCAGGACAGCUUUUCCGUCCAGCAUCACUGAGCAUUCCUUCAUCUCAGCCAGCACAGCCAUCUCAAUCAACUAGCUCAAGUACAUUUUCUAGUGCAUUCUCAAGUGGGCUUGGUGGAUUUGGACAGUCUGCACAGAUUGGAUCAGGGCAGCAGUCGGGAUUUGGGCAGUCUGCACAAAUUGGAGCUGGUCAGCAGGCAGGUUUUGGGCAGCCAGCACAAAUUCAGUCAGGAUUUGGCCAGCCGGCACAAGUUGGAGCUGCGCAACAGUCAGGAUUUGGGCAGCCUGCACAAAUUGGGGGUGGGCAGCAGUCAGGAUUCGGGCAGCCUGCACAGCUUGGUGCUCAGCAGGCGCUUGGAUCUGUUCUGGGUUCUUUUGGACAAUCACGCCAGCUAGGAGGCUUUGGUGGAUUUGCUAGUUCCUCUUCUGGGGCUUUUGCUUCUGCACCUUCCAGUAAUUCUGGAUUUGCUGGUGCUGCAGCAGGUGGAGGUUUCUCUGCAGCUGCUACUUCUGUUGGUGGAGGGUUUGCUGCUGCUGCUACCGGUGGAGGGUUUGCUUCUCUUGCCUCCAAAAGCGGUGGUGGUUUUGCUGCCGCAGCUUCAUCUUCUGGUGGUUUUGGAGGUGCAGCCCAGGGUGGUGGUUUUGGAGGUGCGGCCCAGGGUGGUGGUUUUGGAGGUGCGGCCCAGGGUGGUGGUUUUGGAGGGGGUCUCGCCAUUGCCAGGUACCUUGUCAGCAAAAGACAUCUUGAGAGAAACUGGCCGCUGAGGCUGCCAGGUGCUUACACAGGGAUAAAAAACAAAAGCAUACGAUGCCAAGCACUUGUUAACAAGCAACGGCCACAACUUAAUGCGGAAGGAAUCCGGCAGGUGCUUGGAACAGAACAUAUGCACGCACGUACGCCUCACUCAGUUACAGGGACGCCCACAGUACUAGAGCCAAACCAACCAACAAACAGUGAAGCUGCGGCGUCGGCUUCAAAGCUCACCUCCCCAGCGUUCCUUUGGGAGAUGUAUCACCAGCAGCAGCAGCAGUUUCAUGAUCACAGGCAGCACAUGUCCUCGAGGCCUAGCUUGUCCCCGGAGAAGAAGUUCUUCAUGAAGGGCCAAGGAGGGGCAGGAGGAGGAGGAGAUUCGGGGCUCAUCCUGUCGACGGAUGCGAAGCCUCGGCUUAAGUGGACUCCUGAGCUGCACGAGCGGUUCGCGGAUGCGGUGAAGAAGCUAGGAGGGCCUGACAAAGCUACGCCGAAGGCAAUCAUGAGGGUCAUGGGAAUCCCGGGAUUAACUCUGUACCAUCUUAAGAGCCACCUCCAGAAAUUCAGACUUAGCAAGAAUCUCCAAGCGCAAGCUAAUGCCGUCAAUGCAAAAAAUGUUUAUGGCUUUGGCACAGCGACGGAUAAAGCGUGUGAAGGGCAUGGAUCAUCAGGUGAUCACCUGAACCGAGAGACGAACACCAGCAGGUCUAUGCACAUAAACGACGCCCUCCAAAUGCAAAUUGAGGUCCAGAGACGACUGCACGAGCAAAUAGAGGUACAAAGGCACCUGCAGCUCCGGAUCGAAGCCCAGGGGAAGUACCUGCACUCCGUGCUGGAGAAGGCGCAGGAGGCGCUCGGGAAGCAGCACGUCGUCGCCGGCCUCGAGGCGGCGGAGCCCACGCAGCGGCUGCCGGAGCUAGCCUCGUCGGUGAGACGAGGAUUACUCCAGAACGACGGCUCGGCCGAUGACAGCUGCCUGACCGCGUCCGAGGACAUCCUCUCCAUGGGCCUCUCCGCGUCUGCCACCCGUAGAGGCUGCGGCGCUCCGUUCGAAACCUCGGCGAGCGCGAGCCGCGAGGAGGACGAGGAAUGCUACCUGUUUCUCGGCAAGCCUGAGGGGCGGCGUGAGGUCAGGAGGGACGGGUGCAACGGUGGCGCGGCGUUCGGGAAGGCGGCGGAGCUGGACCUUAGCAUCGGCGUCGUCGCGGCGAGCAGCAGGCGGCGGCCGGACGGCGGCGACAGGCUUGACCUGAACGGAUCAGGCUGGAACUGAGUGAGAGGAGCAAGUGAGAUGCAUGCAAGCCAUGCAUGGCGGAAGCGUUCUUGCUCUGAACAUGAUCAUGCAGAGUUUCAGAAGCAGGCGCAUCCGUGCAUGGAAAGCCAGAACGGCAGGACAAGAGUGACGUGGUGGCCUCCUGUAAUGUCUCACAGUCUGUAUGCUGCAGCUGUGAUUCGGUGAAAUAGUCAUUUUUUGUCACGAUGGCUCUUGUGUCAUG